This 554-nucleotide ribosomal RNA is filed under the name uncultured archaeon. RNAcentral describes it as "bacterial SSU rRNA". It matches the Rfam family "Archaeal small subunit ribosomal RNA", at positions 70 to 624 of the family's 1478-position model. The record is from RNAcentral.
UCGUGAACAUAGCAGACUGCUCAGUAACACGUGGAUAACCUGCCCUUAGGACUGGCAUAACCCCGGGAAACUGGGGAUAAUUCCGGAUAGAUCAUAAAUGCUGGAAUGCUUUAUGAUUGAAAGGUUUCGACCGCCUUAGGAUGGAUCUGCGGCCUAUCAGGUUGUAGUGGGUGUAAUGUACCUACUAGCCUACGACGGGUACGGGUUGUGGAAGCAAGAGCCCGGAGAUGGAUUCUGAGACAUGAAUCCAGGCCCUACGGGGCGCAGCAGGCGCGAAAACUUUACAAUGCGGGAAACCGUGAUAAGGGAACACUGAGUGCUAGCAUUUAUGUUAGCUGUCCACAUGUGUAAAUAGCAUGUGAUAGCAAGGGCUGGGCAAGACCGGUGCCAGCCGCCGCGGUAACACCGGCAGCCCGAGUGGUGAUCACUAUUAUUGGGUCUAAAGGGUCCGUAGCCGGUUUAAUCAGUCUUCUGGGAAAUCUAAUCGCUUAACUAUUAGGCUUCCAGGGGAUACUGUUAGACUUGGGACCGGGAGAGGUAAGAGGUACUGCAGG